UGAUUUAUGUCACAAAUUGACAUAAAAAGUAUCAAUUAAUAUCUAAAUUAUCUAACUUUAUUAAGAAAUUGAUACUUGUUAUUAUAUUUUGUAGAAGAAGAGAUCAUCAAUAGAAAGAACAAGGAAAGAGGAUUCCAAUGGCGCAAAUUUUAUGCAAAACGGAGUUAAAUUGACCCAGAAAUUGAAGAAUGAAGAAAGAAGACUCAAUUGGGUCAAAUCCGAGUCAAAUCAGAUCAAAAUUGAUCAAAAAUCAACUGAUUUG
This 262-nucleotide long non-coding RNA is filed under the name Elaeis guineensis (African oil palm). RNAcentral describes it as "long non-coding RNA (EGUI_LNC038631)". Lineage: Eukaryota; Viridiplantae; Streptophyta; Magnoliopsida; Arecales; Arecaceae. The record is from RNAcentral.